This 497-nucleotide ribosomal RNA is filed under the name uncultured bacterium. RNAcentral describes it as "partial 16S ribosomal RNA". It matches the Rfam family "Bacterial small subunit ribosomal RNA", at positions 28 to 507 of the family's 1533-position model. The record is from RNAcentral.
GAUGAACGCUGGCGGCGUGCCUAAUACAUGCAAGUCGAGCGAACAGAUAAGGAGCUUGCUCCUUUGACGUUAGCGGCGGACGGGUGAGUAACACGUGGGUAACCUACCUAUAAGACUGGGAUAACUUCGGGAAACCGGAGCUAAUACCGGAUAACAUUUGGAACCGCAUGGUUCUAAAGUGAAAGAUGGUUUUGCUAUCACUUAUAGAUGGACCCGCGCCGUAUUAGCUAGUUGGUAAGGUAACGGCUUACCAAGGCGACGAAACGUAGCCGACCUGAGAGGGUGAUCGGCCACACUGGAACUGAGACACGGUACAGACUCCUACGGGAAGCAGCAGUAGGGAAUCUUCCGCAAUAGGCGAAAGACUGACGGAGCAACGCCGCGUGAGUGAUGAAGGGAUUCGGCUCGUAAGACUCUGUUAUUAGGGAAGAACAAAUGUGUAAGUAACUGUGCACGUCUUGACGGUACCUAAUCAGAAAGCCACGGCUAACUACGUG